RNAcentral lists this small nuclear RNA (18 nucleotides) under Arabidopsis thaliana (thale cress). Its description in RNAcentral is "snRNA_02856". The record is from RNAcentral. Lineage: Eukaryota; Viridiplantae; Streptophyta; Magnoliopsida; Brassicales; Brassicaceae.
CCGCUGAUUCGCUUGUGG